ACGAACGCUGGCGGCCUGCCUCACCCAUGCCAGUCGAACGAGACCUUCGGGUCUAGUGGCGCACGGGUGCGUAACGCGUGGGAACCUGCCCUUAGGUUCGGAAUAACUCCCCGAAAGGGGUGCUAAUACCGGAUAAUGUCUUCGGACCAAAGAUUUAUCGCCUUUGGAUGGGCCCGCGUUGGAUUAGCUAGUUGGUAGGGUAAAAGCCUACCAAGGCGACGAUCCAUAGCUGGUCUGAGAGGAUGAUCAGCCACACUGGGACUGAGACACGGCCCAGACUCCUACGGGAGGCAGCAGUGGGGAAUAUUGGACAAUGGGCGAAAGCCUGAUCCAGCAAUGCCGCGUGAGUGAUGAAGGCCUUAGGGUUGUAAAGCUCUUUUACCCGGGAUGAUAAUGACAGUACCGGGAGAAUAAGCUCCGGCUAACUCCGUG
This 432-nucleotide ribosomal RNA is filed under the name uncultured bacterium. RNAcentral's name for it is "partial 16S ribosomal RNA". It matches the Rfam family "Bacterial small subunit ribosomal RNA", at positions 29 to 507 of the family's 1533-position model. The record is from RNAcentral.